GUUUUCUUUUCUCACUCUUCAAAACGACGGACAUUCCUUUCCUUAGAUCGCACGUCGAGACAUUGGUGCCUCCUUCUUCCUUCUUAGGAACCUUUGUUCAUCGGACACGUGUUAGCUCCGCCGAAACGCAUCGGAAUCGUGGGAAUCGGCUAUAUAUCGCCGGUGAAGAAGAUGAAGAUCGACGUCAACAAAAUCGCUCGGAAAGUCGAGGUCGAUGAUCGAAUUCCUCUCCGGUACUAUUUCAGAAUCGCCGAUAAUCUCCUCAGACAGGUUAGCUCUCCUUCUUAUUCGCUCCCUAAUUGCAUUUUGAUCUUGUGUUGUUUCUAAUAUCGUAGUUUUUAUGAUUGGUUAAGGUCCUUUUUUUUUCCAGUUAGGUAAUGGAUCCGAAUUUGUUGGUAAUGGAGGUUGAAUUGGGGGUUUUAAAUGUUGUGAUUUUAUGUACUGCACUUGAUAAUUUUUUUUUUAAUCUUCUACAGGGGAAUAUACACCGGGAGGAGAAGAACAUCGUAGAUUUGUAUACAAUUCUACUUAGAUUUUCAAG
RNAcentral lists this unclassified non-coding RNA (541 nucleotides) under Hevea brasiliensis (rubber tree). The record is from RNAcentral. Lineage: Eukaryota; Viridiplantae; Streptophyta; Magnoliopsida; Malpighiales; Euphorbiaceae.